RNAcentral lists this ribosomal RNA (194 nucleotides) under uncultured bacterium. RNAcentral's name for it is "partial 16S ribosomal RNA". It matches the Rfam family "Bacterial small subunit ribosomal RNA", at positions 338 to 524 of the family's 1533-position model. The record is from RNAcentral.
CCUACGGGAGGCAGCAGUAGGGAAUCUUCCGCAAUGGACGAAAGUCUGACGGAGCAACGCCGCGUGAGUGAAGAAGGUCUUCGGAUCGUAAAGCUCUGUUGUUAGGGAAGAACAAGUAUCGGAGGAAAUGCCGGUACCUUGACGGUACCUGACGAGAGAGCCACGGCUAACUACGUGCCAGCAGCCGCGGUAAU